UGGCUGUUCGCCAUUUAAAGUGUACGCGAGCUGGGUUUAGAACGUCGUGAGACAGUUCGGUCCCUAUCUGCCGUGGCGUUUGAGAAUUGAGAGGGGUUGCUCUAGUACGAGAGGACCGGAGUGAACGAACCGCUGGUGUUCGGGUUGUCAUGCCAAUGGCAUUGCCCGGUAGCUACGUUCGGAACUGAUAAGCGCUGAAAGCAUCUAAGCGCGAAGCAGGCCUCGAGAUGAGUUCUCACUAGACUUUUAAAGUCUCUGAAGGGCCGUUGAAGACUACAACGUUGAUAGGCAAGAUGUGGAAGUGGUGUGAGCCAUUAAGCUAACUUGUACUAAUUACCCGUGAGGCUUAACCAUA
Molecule: ribosomal RNA, 355 nt
Filed under: Alteromonadales bacterium TW-7
Lineage: Bacteria; Pseudomonadati; Pseudomonadota; Gammaproteobacteria; Alteromonadales
Description: bacterial LSU rRNA
Rfam family: Bacterial large subunit ribosomal RNA
Source: RNAcentral